UACGGAGGGUGCGAGCGUUGUUCGGAAUCACUGGGCGUAAAGCGCGUGUAGGCGGCCCACUAAGUCUGAUGUGAAAGCCCGGGGCUCACCCCCGGAAGUGCAUUGGAAACUGGUGGACUCGAGUCCCGGAGAGGAGAGUGGAAUUCCUGGUGUAGCGGUGAAAUGCGUAGAUAUCAGGAGGAACACCGGUGGCGAAGGCGGCUCUCUGGACGGUGACUGACGCUGAGGCACGAAGGUCAGGGGAGCAAACGGG
Molecule: ribosomal RNA, 253 nt
Filed under: uncultured bacterium
Lineage: Bacteria
Description: partial 16S ribosomal RNA
Rfam family: Bacterial small subunit ribosomal RNA
Source: RNAcentral